RNAcentral lists this ribosomal RNA (343 nucleotides) under uncultured soil bacterium. RNAcentral describes it as "bacterial SSU rRNA". It matches the Rfam family "Bacterial small subunit ribosomal RNA", at positions 26 to 399 of the family's 1533-position model. The record is from RNAcentral.
AGAACGAACGCUGGCGGCAUGCCUAAUACAUGCAAGUCGAACGAACUCUUCGGAGUUAGUGGCGCACGGGUGCGUAACGCGUGGGAAUCUGCCCUUGGGUUCGGAAUAACAGUUGGAAACGGCUGCUAAUACCGGAUGAUGACGAAAGUCCAAAGAUUUAUCGCCCAGGGAUGAGCCCGCGUAGGAUUAGCUAGUUGGUGAGGUAAAGGCUCACCAAGGCGACGAUCCUUAGCUGGUCUGAGAGGAUGAUCAGCCACACUGGGACUGAGACACGGCCCAGACUCCUACGGGAGGCAGCAGUAGGAAUAUUGGACAAUGGGCAAAGCCUGAUCCAGCAAUGCCG